GUAACACCCCGUUUUUUUUUCCUCCUAAUGGCAUAAGAUAAAGCACUCCUACGACUCGACACGCAAAUCCCAUGUCAUUCCAAUUAUACAUAAGAGAAACUUAUCCACAACUCAUUAUUCCAAACCAAUUGUACAUACAAUUCCACCUCUACAUCACAUGGCAACACAAUAUCAUACAUUUCCAGAAAUUCAAUACCCAUACUAAGACACCUUUUAUAAACUACUUUAUGCCACAAAUAAAACUUGUGCCCUAUGGCACUACAGACNN
RNAcentral lists this long non-coding RNA (268 nucleotides) under Carica papaya (papaya). RNAcentral's name for it is "long non-coding RNA (CPAP_LNC011719)". Lineage: Eukaryota; Viridiplantae; Streptophyta; Magnoliopsida; Brassicales; Caricaceae. The record is from RNAcentral.